UACAGAGGGUGCGAGCGUUAAUCGGAAUUACUGGGCGUAAAGGGUGCGUAGGUGGUGACUUAAGUUAGGUGUGAAAGCCCCGGGCUCAACCUGGGAAUUGCAUUCGAGACUGCAUGGCUAGGAUGCGGAAGAGGGAAGCGGAAUUUCCGGUGUAGCGGUGAAAUGCGUAGAUAUCGGAAGGAACACCAGUGGCGAAAGCGGCUUCCUGGUCCAGCAUCGACGUUCAGGCACGAAAGCGUGGGGAGCAAACAGG
Molecule: ribosomal RNA, 253 nt
Filed under: uncultured bacterium
Lineage: Bacteria
Description: partial 16S ribosomal RNA
Rfam family: Bacterial small subunit ribosomal RNA
Source: RNAcentral